GUUUGACUUCAUUCAGGCGUCAUCUGCCCGGGGACCAGAAAGUUUGCUCUGUAUUGCUUGAAACAUGCACUCGGGGAACUUAGAAACAUCACUUUGAGAGCCUAAAACAAAACCUGCACCUGUCCCAAGGCUGAUGUGCAGAGCUGGAGCUUGAGAACUCAGAACCCUUGUGGGGGUACUCGUGGGGGAGAAUUGUUCUGAACCCCAGUGCCACUCCUCAAUUCCAGGCCUCUUUCUUCCAGAGCACGGAGGGCCUGCGUAGAUGUGCAGUCCUCGGCCUUCUGGAGGCCGAAACCCAUCUGCCAACUGCUCAGCAGGGACCAGGAGAAAAGCGGAAUGGGAAAGGAAGAGGAAGCAGAGAAAGUUCUGGGCCCGUUGCGGAGGAGGCCCUGCCUGGGAUGCACCCCCGCCCGGGGCCAGCUGACCCGUGACCGCUCCUCCUGGUGCCAGGCGACGCCCGCGCCCUGGUGUGCUUUCACCCCCCACAUCCCCCCCCCCCCCCCCCCCCCCCCCCCCCCCCCACCCUCUCGAUAAGGCUCUUUUUGUUCCGGACCAGGAGCACUUUCACAAAUGGUUAGAAAGUCUUGAGCGCCAUCUAACGGGAACAGCAAAAAGUUGAAAGUGGGUGGAGGUUAGGACCUGUGAGGUGCCCAGGCUGGGCUCCGGAGAGUCCAUUCCCCAACUCUAUCCACACUCUCAAGCCUUGACUUCCCUUCUCUUACUCUCACAACUCUCGUCCCCUGGAACUCCAGACUUGACCACUCUCGCAGGCUCACCUUUCCAGAGCCCUGGGGCAGUUGUAGGCUGCUUCUUGGACCUUCUCUUCCACUUCUGUUUCAGUUUCUUGACAGUCACCUCCAAUCAACUCCGAUCAGGCUUCGUAAAGUUGAAUGCAGAGUUUCACAAAAUUGGCAGCAGCUCUGCUUCAUUUGCUGAGUGUGGAACGUGGCAUAAGAGAGUUUCACCUGGCCUGAGGGUGGGGUGGAGCGGCUGGAGAGAUGGCUCAGAGGUUAAGAGCACUGGGCUGCUCUUCCAGACCACUGGGUUUCCAUUCCCAGUACUCACAUGUCUGUAACUCCAUUUCCAUAGGACCUAACAGCCUCUUCUGGCCUCUGAGGGUUCCAGGCAGGUACGUGUGUAGACAUGCAUGCAGGCAAAAUCACUUAUACCCACAAAAGCAAGACAGAUUUACUCUCUUUCCUUCUCUGUUCCAUCAAUAGCCCCAAUAAAAUAUCCAAGACUGAAGACUCUGUUGUCCA
RNAcentral lists this long non-coding RNA (1259 nucleotides) under Mus spicilegus (steppe mouse). RNAcentral describes it as "lncRNA (ENSMSIG00000025496.1)". Lineage: Eukaryota; Metazoa; Chordata; Mammalia; Rodentia; Muridae. The record is from RNAcentral.